CUGCGAAUACCGGAGAAUGUUAUCACGGGAGACACACGGCGGGUGCUAACGUCCGUCGUGAAGAGGGAAACAACCCAGACCGCCAGCUAAGGUCCCAAAGUCAUGGUUAAGUGGGAAACGAUGUGGGAAGGCCCAGACAGCCAGGAUGUUGGCUUAGAAGCAGCCAUCAUUUAAAGAAAGCGUAAUAGCUCACUGGUCGAGUCGGCCUGCGCGGAAGAUGUAACGGGGCUAAACCAUGCACCGAAGCUGCGGCAGCGAUGCUUAUGCGUUGUUGGGUAGGGGAGCGUUCUGUAAGCCUGCGAAGGUGUGCUGUGAGGCAUGCUGGAGGUAUCAGAAGUGCGAAUGCUGACAUAAGUAACGAUAAAGCGGGUGAAAAGCCCGCUCGCCGGAAGACCAAGGGUUCCUGUCCAACGUUAAUCGGGGCAGGGUGAGUCGACCCCUAAGGCGAGGCCGAAAGGCGUAGUCGAUGGGAAACAGGUUAAUAUUCCUGUACUUGGUGUUACUGCGAAGGGGGGACGGAGAAGGCUAUGUUGGCCGGGCGACGGUUGUCCCGGUUUAAGCGUGUAGGCUGGUUUUCCAGGCAAAUCCGGAAAAUCAAGGCUGAGGCGUGAUGACGAGGCACUACGGUGCUGAAGCAACAAAUGCCCUGCUUCCAGGAAAAGCCUCUAAGCAUCAGGUAACAUCAAAUCGUACCCCAAACCGACACAGGUGGUCAGGUAGAGAAUACCAAGGCGCUUGAGAGAACUCGGGUGAAGGAACUAGGCAAAAUGGUGCCGUAACUUCGGGAGAAGGCACGCUGAUAUGUAGGUGAAGUCCCUUGCGGAUGGAGCUGAAAUCAGUCGAAGAUACCAGCUGGCUGCAACUGUUUAUUAAAAACACAGCACUGUGCAAACACGAAAGUGGACGUAUACGGUGUGACGCCUGCCCGGUGCCGGAAGGUUAAUUGAUGGGGUCAGCGCAAGCGAAGCUCUUGAUCGAAGCCCCGGUAAACGGCGGCCGUAACUAUAACGGUCCUAAGGUAGCGAAAUUCCUUGUCGGGUAAGUUCCGACCUGCACGAAUGGCGUAAUGAUGGCCAGGCUGUCUCCACCCGAGACUCAGUGAAAUUGAACUCGCUGUGAAGAUGCAGUGUACCCGCGGCAAGACGGAAAGACCCCGUGAACCUUUACUAUAGCUUGACACUGAACAUUGAGCCUUGAUGUGUAGGAUAGGUGGGAGGCUUUGAAGUGUGGACGCCAGUCUGCAUGGAGCCGGCCUUGAAAUACCACCCUUUAAUGUUUGAUGUUCUAACGUGGACCCGUGAUCCGGGUUGCGGACAGUGUCUGGUGGGUAGUUUGACUGGGGCGGUCUCCUCCUAAAGAGUAACGGAGGAGCACGAAGGUUGGCUAAUCCUGGUCGGACAUCAGGAGGUUAGUGCAAUGGCAUAAGCCAGCUUGACUGCGAGCGUGACGGCGCGAGCAGGUGCGAAAGCAGGUCAUAGUGAUCCGGUGGUUCUGAAUGGAAGGGCCAUCGCUCAACGGAUAAAAGGUACUCCGGGGAUAACAGGCUGAUACCGCCCAAGAGUUCAUAUCGACGGCGGUGUUUGGCACCUCGAUGUCGGCUCAUCACAUCCUGGGGCUGAAGUAGGUCCCAAGGGUAUGGCUGUUCGCCAUUUAAAGUGGUACGCGAGCUGGGUUUAGAACGUCGUGAGACAGUUCGGUCCCUAUCUGCCGUG
RNAcentral lists this ribosomal RNA (1712 nucleotides) under Shigella sonnei. RNAcentral's name for it is "partial 23S ribosomal RNA". It matches the Rfam family "Bacterial large subunit ribosomal RNA", at positions 954 to 2649 of the family's 2925-position model. The record is from RNAcentral. Lineage: Bacteria; Pseudomonadati; Pseudomonadota; Gammaproteobacteria; Enterobacterales; Enterobacteriaceae.